UGCACAAAGUUUUGAAGUGUGAGACAGU
This 28-nucleotide non-coding RNA is filed under the name Rattus norvegicus (Norway rat). The record is from RNAcentral. Lineage: Eukaryota; Metazoa; Chordata; Mammalia; Rodentia; Muridae.